GAACCAGCCAUGCCGCGUGGAGGAUGAAGGUCCUCUGGAUUGUAAACUUCUUUUAUCUGGGAAAAAAAGCGGGUUUUCUAACCUGUCUGACGGUACCAGAUGAAUAAGCACCGGCUAACUCCGUGCCAGCAGCCGCGGUAAUACGGAGGGUGCAGGCGUUAUCCGGAUUCACUGGGUUUAAAGGGUGCGUAGGCGGAAUUGUAAGUCCGUGGUGAAAUCUCCGAGCUUAACUCGGAAACUGCCGUGGAUACUAUAGUUCUUGAAUGUUGUGGAGGUUUGCGGAAUAUGUCAUGUAGCGGUGAAAUGCUUAGAUAUGACAUAGAACACCGAUUGCGAAGGCAGCAGGCUACACAAAUAUUGACGCUGAGGCACGAAAGCGUGGGGAUCAAACAGGAUUAGAUACCCUGGUAGUCCACGCCCUAAACGAUGAUUACUCGACAUACGCGAUACACAGUGUGUGUCUGAGCGAAAGCAUUAAGUAAUCCACCUGGGAAGUACGACCGCAAGGUUGAAACUCAAAGGA
Molecule: ribosomal RNA, 523 nt
Filed under: uncultured Chitinophaga sp.
Lineage: Bacteria; Pseudomonadati; Bacteroidota; Chitinophagia; Chitinophagales; Chitinophagaceae
Description: bacterial SSU rRNA
Rfam family: Bacterial small subunit ribosomal RNA
Source: RNAcentral